AUUUUAACAACAAAAGUAUAGAUAACCCCCCCCUCCCAAAAUGGUUUGUUCCAGCUCGCCCCCACUCUGGCUCUAGGGUCGUUGCUGCCAGAGCGAUGGUAGCUGAGACGCAGCGGAGCGGAGGUGGAGUGCCUGGAUUAAAACAGGACAUAUUAGCAGCAUUUUAACCUUCAGUUACUCUUUAUGUAGUUAGAUAGGAGUCAUGUUUCUUUUUAGCCGAAAAACCUUACACCCAGAGAGACAGCCAGGUUCAUAAUGGAUAUAAGGAAGUUUUUAAAAAAACAGGAGCCACAUUCAGUCCAAAGAGGGAGAGAGGAAAGAGGGGAACGUGAGGAGAAAGUACAAGGUCAGGAAGAACCAGGUGGCCCUGUGACUUUACUGACACAGAGGUCAAGGCCGAGCACCUGAUGGCAAAGAAUGUAAUAGCAUUUUCUGAGAACAAGAGCCGGCGACUGAGUGGAUCUCUCAUGAAGGGAAAACCAUGUGGGUCCCACUACUGAAGAGAGACUGCUUUACAAUCCAGUGCCCAGGGCCCACCCUAUAUGCAGUUCUCUGCAUUAGCAGCCUGAGAUCUACCUUUGACUUUUUUAUAACAGACUUUUAAAAAAAAAAAUAUAUAUAUAAUAUUAUUAUAAAGUAAAAAAGGCAAAGGGGUUCACCUUGGCAGAGAAACUCCUCAGAUGAAAACUGGCUCUUGUUGGCACAAUCAGGGGAAACAACGCAGAGCUACCUCCCCAGCUUGUCCAGUUGCAACAGAUGAAGAUUUUGUUGUCUGUCUUUGCCUUCACCAAAGCUACCACGCUGAUAUCCCACAUGCCAAAGCAAUGGAGGAAUGGGCUUCUUUUGAGCACAACACACAGGGAACCAGCAGUCAGUGAUGGGGAAUAGAGGAAGCCUGGAAGCAAGAAGCAAUCCUGGACUGCAAUAGGCACAAAUAGUGUGUGGAUGACCUAGACAGGAUGUUGACACCUUGAGUUGUUGAAGGAAAACUGGCUGCUGGCUUUUUUCUACAAUCUCCUGGAUGUCUUGGAAUACAAUACCUUUGUCCCGUGGAAGCCACUUCACAGGAUGGGAGUCUUUUAAAACCUACCAAUGAAGAGUGAUCCUAGGAGAGCUGGGGCACAUGCUGGUGACCUCAGCAGCUGCAAGAUAGCUUUGUUCCCAAUGCUCAUUAGUCGCUUCUGCCACUGAUCCCAAGAUACUGUAGUCUGAAUCAGAGUGUGACCCACACCCCACCAACAAAAUGAGAAAAAGGUGCAGAAGGUGCACCUGCAGGAUUAGAACAGCAGCCACUUUCUCCAGCUGUGGAAGUGUGCCUACAAAGACCACUCUACUGUGGUUAGCACAUCCUGCUGCUAAUGAGGAUGCACACACACGCACAAACUGAAAUACAAAUUUUGCUCAUUGUAGUGGUCAUUUGGUCAUUAAAUUGCCAUUUCUAGCCACUAACAUGCCAUGUGGGAGUUUCUUUUUGGUUAUCCAUUAAAAGAAGUAAUAAUGCAAAAGAAGCUUUGUUACUGUUACUGGUGCUGACCUGCAAUGGUGACUGAAAAAAAUAUGAAUUUUCAUCAAUUACAUGGUGAAAAAAUUGGAACUUUAUUGCUAUUUCUCCUAAAAAGUUAGUAGUAAUGUGUAAUUUGACUGGUAUUUGAAGGGUAUAGUUUCGGAAUUUGAAAAAUAUUUUGGUUUUCAUGACUAGGACUGGUACUAAUUUAAAAAAUCAAGUUGGUCAAAGUAGAAAAAUGUUUUGGGUUUUUUUUGCCUGUCCCAUUUGGUUCUUUAGCCAUCAGAAUUAUUGUCUGAAGGCAAAGAAAGAUGCCCAACAGUAGAAAAUGUUUUAAAUAUAUAUGAAUUUUAUAGCAUUAAGUGAAUGUAAACAACAGGUUGGCCAUUUUUGGCCAUGAACGUGCUGAGAGAGUUUUUCUGUUUUUCUGUCACUGCACAACAAUAUAAUAAGGCAUAAAAAUCAUUGAUACUGUUAAUUAUUUUUAUACAUGUAGCUGCAAUGAUGGUUAAAAAUAAAUCAGGCUGCAUGUAUUACUUGGACAAAAAAAGUUGGAUUUUAUGAUUUUCUCAAUUUGUGGAUACUUACAAACGAACAAGCUGAGAGAAAGUUUGAUCUAUUUUGCUUUCCCUGCACAAAAAUAACAAAAGAAAAUAAUCAGUGUUGAUGUUAAUCGAUUACAUGUCCAAGACUCUACCAUUAAUGAUACAAGAAAAUCCAGUAACAAUGCGAUUAUAUGAAAUGGUGAGUUUUGAGGUUGUCUUCCAACACGUGCAUUGUACAAACAAACUGGUGUUUUAAGGGUUAAAAAAAGUAAAAAGUAAUGACUGUU
Molecule: long non-coding RNA, 2336 nt
Organism: Oreochromis aureus
Lineage: Eukaryota; Metazoa; Chordata; Actinopteri; Cichliformes; Cichlidae
Source: Ensembl